Molecule: non-coding RNA, 75 nt
Filed under: Paenibacillus sp. BK033
Lineage: Bacteria; Bacillati; Bacillota; Bacilli; Caryophanales; Paenibacillaceae
Source: RNAcentral
GGGAGCCGGAUGAGCCGAGAGGUUCACGUCCGGUUCUGAGAGAGCCUGAGGGUGAAAUUCCCUCGGCUACUUACC